GCAGUGAUGAAUCUUGUGGCACUGAUCAGCUGAUGUGAUGUCGCUUUCAUUGUCCUCUAAGAAGUUCUGAGCAG
This 74-nucleotide small nucleolar RNA is filed under the name Pelusios castaneus (West African mud turtle). RNAcentral's name for it is "Small nucleolar RNA SNORD61 (ENSPCEG00000016770.1)". It matches the Rfam family "Small nucleolar RNA SNORD61". From Rfam's summary of the family: U61 belongs to the C/D class of snoRNA which contain the C (UGAUGA) and D (CUGA) box motifs. Most of the members of the box C/D family function in directing site-specific 2'-O-methylation of substrate RNAs. The record is from Rfam by way of RNAcentral. Lineage: Eukaryota; Metazoa; Chordata; Testudines; Pelomedusidae.